UACGUAGGGGGCUAGCGUUAUCCGGAAUUACUGGGCGUAAAGGGUGCGUAGGUGGUUUCUUAAGUCAGAGGUGAAAGGCUACGGCUCAACCGUAGUAAGCCUUUGAAACUGGGGAACUUGAGUGCAGGAGAGGAGAGUGGAAUUCCUAGUGUAGCGGUGAAAUGCGUAGAUAUUAGGAGGAACACCAGUUGCGAAGGCGUCUCUCUGGACUGUAACUGACACUGAGGCACGAAAGCGUGGGGAGCAAACAGG
This 252-nucleotide ribosomal RNA is filed under the name Romboutsia timonensis. RNAcentral's name for it is "partial 16S ribosomal RNA". It matches the Rfam family "Bacterial small subunit ribosomal RNA", at positions 524 to 776 of the family's 1533-position model. The record is from RNAcentral. RNAcentral also lists the same sequence under 1 other name. Lineage: Bacteria; Bacillati; Bacillota; Clostridia; Peptostreptococcales; Peptostreptococcaceae.